UGGUGGAGCGAUUUGUCUGGUUAAUUCCGAUAACGAACGAGACUCUAGCCUAUAAAUAGUGCAAGGAUCUUUACGUCCUUGUCACUUCUUAGAGGGACAGACGGCAUCUAGCCGUACGAAAUUGUACAAUAACA
Molecule: ribosomal RNA, 134 nt
Filed under: uncultured eukaryote
Lineage: Eukaryota
Description: partial 18S ribosomal RNA
Rfam family: Eukaryotic small subunit ribosomal RNA
Source: RNAcentral